GCCGGGCACGGUGGUGCAUGCCUGUAAUCUCAGUAACUUGGAAGGCCGAGGCAGGAGGAUCGCAAGUUCAAAGCCAGCCUCAGCAGAUUAAUGAGGCACUUAGCAACUCAACAAGACCCUGUCUCUA
Molecule: small RNA, 127 nt
Filed under: Marmota monax (woodchuck)
Lineage: Eukaryota; Metazoa; Chordata; Mammalia; Rodentia; Sciuridae
Source: RNAcentral